AGUGAACGCUGGCGGUAGGCCUAACACAUGCAAGUCGAACGGCAGCACAGUAAGAGCUUGCUCUUACGGGUGGCGAGUGGCGGACGGGUGAGGAAUACAUCGGAAUCUACUUUUUCGUGGGGGAUAACGUAGGGAAACUUACGCUAAUACCGCAUACGACCUACGGGUGAAAGCAGGGGAUCUUCGGACCCUGCGCGAUUGAAUGAGCCGAUGUCGGAUUAGCUAGUUGGCGGGGUAAAGGCCCACCAAGGCGACGAUCCGUAGCUGGUCCGAGAGGAUGAUCAGCCACACUGGAACUGAGACACGGUCCAGACUCCUACGGGAGGCAGCAGUGGGGAAUAUUGGACAAUGGGCGCAAGCCUGAUCCAGCCAUACCGCGUGGGUGAAGAAGGCCUUCGGGUUGUAAAGCCCUUUUGUUGGGAAAGAAAAGCAGCAGGUUAAUACCCCGCUGUUCUGACGGUACCCAAAGAAUAAGCACCGGCUAACUUCGUG
RNAcentral lists this ribosomal RNA (492 nucleotides) under uncultured bacterium. RNAcentral's name for it is "partial 16S ribosomal RNA". It matches the Rfam family "Bacterial small subunit ribosomal RNA", at positions 29 to 507 of the family's 1533-position model. The record is from RNAcentral.